Molecule: non-coding RNA, 2837 nt
Organism: Procambarus clarkii (red swamp crayfish)
Lineage: Eukaryota; Metazoa; Arthropoda; Malacostraca; Decapoda; Cambaridae
Source: RefSeq, a predicted model, not a curated record
AAUAACUUGUACAUUAGUACUGAAGAUUUGGGUAAAUUAGGUAUAAAAUUUACUUUGAAGUUAUUUUCUUGGGGAGUCUGGAAUGGAUUAAUUCAAUUUACAUUAUUUCUUAUGGGGAAAUUCGCUUCAAUUCAAGAAUAUUCGGCUUACGAACCGUCUCUGGGAACGGAUUAAAUUCGUAAGCUGAGGUACCAUUGUAUAUAGAUAUAAAUUUACAUGGAUACAUACACACAGUGUUUAUUGUUUUUCAUAUCCUGACUUUUUGAUUGGAGAAUUAUAAUAUCCACUGCUUGUUAAUGUGCAGAUGUUAGGAAAAGUGAGUAGAUAGAAGAAAUACAGGAAAAGAAAGAGGCACCAAUCAAGAGAGAAAAAGUAGAUAUGCACGGAAUGGGCAAUACAAAAAUGUUAAAAUGUAUGUCUGACCCCAUAAGUAGUGUACUUCAAUUUAGGUUUGGUGGUGUGUGCAAGGUAAUGACAUGCAGUGGAUGUGUACAUUUUCUUUGAAAAAAGUUAUGGGUACGCAAUGGAAAAUUUAAGAGUAAAUUGGAUGAGUAGAGAUUGAGGAGUUUCGUAAUUUGGAUAGAUGUUGAUGACGGGGGUGUGGUUCAGGUAUCAUAUGAGGCAUUGUGAGAGGUACUGGGUCUGCCAAACAGAUAUAUAGUAGACUGCUCUGGAUUACGGGAUUUAAAAGCAAACUAGUUCUAUGCAAAAUAAAAAUCUUGAGUUUUUUAAUUGUUUAACGUAGUAAGUGACAGUUUUAUGCAAAUUUUGUCAAUACUUAAAUUUGGAAUACUGUAUAGGAAAUUUUAACCCAAUUGAGCUGCAUUCAUAACAACCAAUAAGAAUAGAGAUGAUCUAAAUUAAAUUUUGUGUUGUAAUGCAGUUUUGUGUUCUUAAAAUGUUAUAUUAAAAACAUUACAUUCAUCUGAAUGUGCUUUCUAUUAUGGUAAUAAACCUUAUGAUUUACUCUAUUUUUGCUUAAUGCUGAAUUUUUGGUCAUGAUUUUCUCAUAAGAUCAUAAACAAGAUAAUACACAGCUCCUUUAAACAAUCCUAUACUGUAUUUCUACGUACAACAAAGAGUUUACCAUAUACUGUAAUAAUGACUUUGCACACAUUUUACUGGAAAAAAACAACCACGUCACACAAUGGUAUCAAUGAGGAACUGUUAUUCUUGUGUACAAUAUAACAUAAAUUAACAAAAUGUGGAGGAAUGUUGGAGUACCAGUAUUUUAGAGUUUAUUCAAUGCUGAAUUUUUAUUGAUUUAAAUGUGAGACUUGAAGCUAUGGGUUAUACCUGUCAGGAGUUGCAUACAUAUUUAUCGUAAGUAUAGUAAAUUAACUUCAGGGAUUAUUGUAACACUUGGAUAUAUCUGCUGGGUGUUUUAAUCAGUCAUAUUACUGUGUCUUUGUAUAGAUCAAGUUCUUGUGUUUAUUUUUGUUUUUUAAAAUUUGUCACAAUUGUUUUAACCCAUUUCACAGUGUGUGUUUUGCCCAGUUCGUCAUGGAAGUCAAAUUGUUUUAUAUUAAUAUAUGAUCCAAGUUUAAAAUUUCAGUUGGAUACAGUCUCAUGUAUAAAUAAAACUACCGCGCAGGAAAAUGCUGGAACUAGGUUUUACUGAUUCUUACUAAAUCUUAAAGGUAUUUUAAAUCUCACUUUAAGCCUUUACACAUGGUCUUAGAAUUGUCUGACCCUAACAUCAGAAGACCUGACUUCCAAAAGGGCUCAUAUAAUGUUGGCUAGUAAGUCUGGUAAUUAUAAAUGAAUGUAUCAUCAAACUGAUGACUGCAUAUAAGUUGCCAUUUACAUGGGAAUAAUAAUGUAACAGUACAGUGCGGUACAUAUUUUGUACCAUAUUAUGGUUUAAAUGUUGUGUAUCUGUAUGUAAAUUUGAUUUUGGUAUUAAAGUCCAUUUGUUAGCCUUUAAGCAUCUGUACAGUUAUGACUGAAAAGUAGUUCUUCAUAAUUAAUGAUUGUUUAUUAGAAAAGAGUUGGAGAUAAAUAUAGGAAUUAUGAGAUAGCUGAUAAUGGGCUAGCAAAUGUUUAUGAAAUACAAAACUUGAAACUGUAACAGGAAUGUAAGAAUACAGGUCUUACUACAGUACUUACGCAUCAUAAGAAUACAAGUAUACAACACAGUUGAUGAUGUGAAACAUAGUAAUUAUGUAUUUAUCAUGCAAAUUGGUUGUCUAAGGAACUAUUGCUUUAUUGUACAUCCACAUAUAUCCCACACAUAUAUACCUGUGGGGAAGAAGUGUGUGUGUGUGUGUGUGUGUGUGUGUUUGUAUUCACCUAGUUGUGUUUGCGGGGGUUGAGCUCUGCUCUGUUGGCCUGCCUCUCAACUGUCUACUACUGUUUCUGCUACAACUGUCUACAACUGUUUCUUCUACUACUACUAUUACUACUUUUUUUUUUCCACAUUGUGUGUGUGUGUGUGUGUGAGAUAUUUUCCAGGGUUUUGUCAUGCAACAGAAUGUGUUACUUGGAAGAUGGCGCAGUUUAGAGUACAAGUUGUUUAAGAAUUCAGGUGUGAAGAAUGACGUAUUUUGAAUAGUUAGUCUGGGCUUUGAAGAGGAGUUUACUCUAAUAUCACAUAUUGUAAAAGUAUUGUGUUCUCUGUGUCCAAAAAAAAAAAAAAAAAGUAAAUCAUAGCUUAUCCUCAAUACUCAUUUAAGGUGCUGAAGGAGGGAACUACUGUAACAAGAUAAUUACAUGUAAUGGGGCUCAUAUACCAGCUUGAUUAAAUAUAUCUUUAUUCGUGUUUUGCUUCAAAUAUAUUUUUUGUUCAAUAUAGAUACAUAUCUACUUAACCCUUUUGAGGUUUGUUAUCGCACAAU